CCUACGGGAGGCAGCAGUAGGGAAUAUUGCUCAAUGGAGGAAAGCCUGAAGCAGCAACGCCGCGUGGAGGAUGAAGGCUUUAGGAUUGGAAAAUCGUUUUGUUAGAGAGGAUUAUGACGGUAUCUAAAGAAUAAGCACAGGAUAACUCCGUGACAGAAGCCGCAGGAAUACGGCGGGUGCCAGCGUUACUCGGAAUCAUUGGGCGUAAAGAGUGCGUAGGCGGGGUAAUAAGUCAGUUGUGAAAUCCUGAAGCUUAACUUCAGAACUGCAUUUGAAACUGUUGAUCUGGAGUGUGGGAGAGGUAGGUGGAAUGCAUGGUGUAGGGGUGAAAUGCUUAGAGAUCAAGAGGAAUACUGAUUGCGAAGGCGACCUACUAGAACAUUACUGACGCUGAGGCACGAAAGCGUGGGGAGCAAACAGGAUUAGAUACCCCUGUAGUC
Molecule: ribosomal RNA, 440 nt
Filed under: uncultured bacterium
Lineage: Bacteria
Description: partial 16S ribosomal RNA
Rfam family: Bacterial small subunit ribosomal RNA
Source: RNAcentral